UUUUUAUGAGAGUUUGAUCCUGGCUCAGGACGAACGCUGGCGGCGUGCCUAAUACAUGCAAGUCGAACGCUUCUUUUUCCACCGGAGCUUGCUCCACCGGAAAAAGAAGAGUGGCGAACGGGUGAGUAACACGUGGGUAACCUGCCCAUCAGAAGGGGAUAACACUUGGAAACAGGUGCUAAUACCGUAUAACAAUCGAAACCGCAUGGUUUUGAUUUGAAAGGCGCUUUCGGGUGUCGCUGAUGGAUGGACCCGCGGUGCAUUAGCUAGUUGGUGAGGUAACGGCUCACCAAGGCCACGAUGCAUAGCCGACCUGAGAGGGUGAUCGGCCACAUUGGGACUGAGACACGGCCCAAACUCCUACGGGAGGCAGCAGUAGGGAAUCUUCGGCAAUGGACGAAAGUCUGACCGAGCAACGCCGCGUGAGUGAAGAAGGUUUUCGGAUCGUAAAACUCUGUUGUUAGAGAAGAACAAGGAUGAGAGUAACUGUUCAUCCCUUGACGGUAUCUAACCAGAAAGCCACGGCUAACUACGUGCCAGCAGCCGCGGUAAUACGUAGGUGGCAAGCGUUGUCCGGAUUUAUUGGGCGUAAAGCGAGCGCAGGCGGUUUCUUAAGUCUGAUGUGAAAGCCCCCGGCUCAACCGGGGAGGGUCAUUGGAAACUGGGAGACUUGAGUGCAGAAGAGGAGAGUGGAAUUCCAUGUGUAGCGGUGAAAUGCGUAGAUAUAUGGAGGAACACCAGUGGCGAAGGCGGCUCUCUGGUCUGUAACUGACGCUGAGGCUCGAAAGCGUGGGG
RNAcentral lists this ribosomal RNA (795 nucleotides) under Enterococcus faecium. RNAcentral describes it as "bacterial SSU rRNA". It matches the Rfam family "Bacterial small subunit ribosomal RNA", at positions 1 to 766 of the family's 1533-position model. Lineage: Bacteria; Bacillati; Bacillota; Bacilli; Lactobacillales; Enterococcaceae. The record is from RNAcentral.